GAUGAACGCUGGCGGCGUGCCUAAUACAUGCAAGUCGAGCGAACAGAUGAGGAGCUUGCUCCUCUGACGUUAGCGGCGGACGGGUGAGUAACACGUGGAUAACCUACCUAUAAGACUGGGAUAACUUCGGGAAACCGGAGCUAAUACCGGAUAAUAUAUUGAACCGCAUGGUUCAAUAGUGAAAGACGGUUUUGCUGUCACUACAGAUGGAUCCGCGCCGCAUUAGCUAGUUGGUAAGGUAACGGCUUACCAAGGCAACGAUGCGUAGCCGACCUGAGAGGGUGAUCGGCCACACUGGAACUGAGACACGGUCCAGACUCCUACGGGAGGCAGCAGUAGGGAAUCUUCCGCAAUGGGCGAAAGCCUGACGGAGCAACGCCGCGUGAGUGAUGAAGGUCUUCGGAUCGUAAAACUCUGUUAUUAGGGAAGAACAAAUGUGUAAGUAACUAUGCACGUCUUGACGGUACCUAAUCAGAAAGCCACGGCUAACUACGUG
RNAcentral lists this ribosomal RNA (496 nucleotides) under uncultured bacterium. Its description in RNAcentral is "partial 16S ribosomal RNA". It matches the Rfam family "Bacterial small subunit ribosomal RNA", at positions 28 to 507 of the family's 1533-position model. The record is from RNAcentral.